CAAAAAGUAAAAUGAAGAGCAAUGGAGGAAGACGAUGGCUUCUACAUAUGCAAACAAGUGAGCACACCAACACGGAACUCAUCCCGGAAAAGAAAAUCUUUGGAUACCAUCAAAAUUGAUCAAGAUUCGAGUUGAAAAAGACAACCCUCUCGACAAGGACGACUGACAGGUAUUUACUGAGUCCCAUACAGCCAAUGAGGACCAGCCUGACAACAAUCCCUACAUGCUCCGGAAAAAGAAGAGGACCAUACCUCCCCAACGGCACUGGAUUCAACUCACUCCAUUUCAACUGACACUCCGACCAGCGCUUCAAGUACUGACUUCAAUCAAGUUGAGGAUUUCAACCUUGAUCUUCAAACAAGCAAAUCCCAUCUAACAUGGACUGGAGAUAACCCAAUAGAGACUUUCCCUGUGCUAACAUUUUUUCCACAGGACCCCACAAGGCUACCAUCGUCCCAUUUCAGCAGGAAGUAACUUAGAAGAUGCUAUGCCCCCAUUCCCCAUUAUUGUUUAUUAGGGUAUUGUAAGGCUAUUUAGGAAUAACUUUCUUAUUGUUUAGAGUUGGGAUUGGAAGGAGGUGUUCAAGUUAGACACCCUUUCCACAUGACUUUAGGGCUUAGAUGGAAUAGAUAGUUAGGAUGUGCAAUAGCAGAUUAUUCUAUCUUCUUAUACUUCACCUUUAUGAUUGUUAAUUUUGGAUAUUUUACACUAUUAAGUUUUAAUCCUCUUUUAGACUAAAAGGGGAAUUGUAGGGAGAUACUGUAGCCCCGCCUCCUAGUAGCCUGGACAGGUGUGCCUGGACACGCCCAUGAGGGCGUGGUGAGGGGAAGUCUAAGGUGACUCUCGGGAAUGGUUCUUAAGGGACCAUGCACACGUGGAGACCCUCUUCUCCCUUCUCCCUUCUCUCUGGCCUGGCUGCCUUGCUGCCUCAGGCCCGCUUUGGCUUGCGCUUGGCUGGUGUUAUCUGAAUAAAGAAACCUUAG
Molecule: long non-coding RNA, 983 nt
Filed under: Cricetulus griseus (Chinese hamster)
Lineage: Eukaryota; Metazoa; Chordata; Mammalia; Rodentia; Cricetidae
Description: lncRNA (ENSCGRG00015031813.1)
Source: RNAcentral